RNAcentral lists this ribosomal RNA (276 nucleotides) under uncultured bacterium. Its description in RNAcentral is "partial 16S ribosomal RNA". It matches the Rfam family "Bacterial small subunit ribosomal RNA", at positions 80 to 354 of the family's 1533-position model. The record is from RNAcentral.
UUCUGCCGCCGGCGACCGGCGCACGGGUGAGUAACACGUAUGCAACCUGGCCCGUGACAGGGGGACAACCCGCCGAAAGGCGGGCUAAACCCGCGUACAUGCCACCGGGGCAUCCCGGAGGCAGGAAAGGCUUCGGCCGGACAGGGAUGGGCAUGCGGCGCAUUAGGCAGUAGGCGGGGUAACGGCCCACCUAACCGACGAUGCGUAGGGGUUCUGAGAGGAAGGUCCCCCACACUGGUACUGAGACACGGACCAGACUCCUACGGGAGGCAGCAG